This 253-nucleotide ribosomal RNA is filed under the name uncultured bacterium. RNAcentral's name for it is "partial 16S ribosomal RNA". It matches the Rfam family "Bacterial small subunit ribosomal RNA", at positions 524 to 776 of the family's 1533-position model. The record is from RNAcentral.
UACGGAGGGUGCAAGCGUUAUCCGGAUUCACUGGGUUUAAAGGGUGUGUAGGCGGAUAUUUAAGUCAGUGGUGAAAUCUCCGGGCUCAACCCGGAAACUGCCAUUGAUACUAUUUAUCUUGAAUUCUGUUGAGGUGGGCGGAAUACAUCAUGUAGCGGUGAAAUGCUUAGAUAUGAUGUAGAACACCGAUUGCGAAGGCAGCUCACUAAGCAGACAUUGACGCUGAGGCACGAAAGCGUGGGGAUCAAACGGG